RNAcentral lists this ribosomal RNA (497 nucleotides) under uncultured bacterium. RNAcentral describes it as "partial 16S ribosomal RNA". It matches the Rfam family "Bacterial small subunit ribosomal RNA", at positions 28 to 507 of the family's 1533-position model. The record is from RNAcentral.
GAUGAACGCUGGCGGCGUGCCUAAUACAUGCAAGUCGAGCGAACAGACGAGGAGCUUGCUCCUCUGACGUUAGCGGCGGACGGGUGAGUAACACGUGGAUAACCUACCUAUAAGACUGGGAUAACUUCGGGAAACCGGAGCUAAUACCGGAUAAUAUAUUGAACCGCAUGGUUCAAUAGUGAAAGACGGUUUUGCUGUCACUUAUAGAUGGAUCCGCGCCGCAUUAGCUAGUUGGUAAGGUAACGGCUUACCAAGGCGACGAUGCGUAGCCGACCUGAGAGGGUGAUCGGCCACACUGGAACUGAGACACGGUCCAGACUCCUACGGGAGGCAGCAGUAGGGAAUCUUCCGCAAUGGGCGAAAGCCUGACGGAACAACGCCGCGUGAGUGAUGAAGGUCUUCGGAUCGUAAAACUCUGUUAUUAGGGAAGAACAAAUGUGUAAGUAACUAUGCACGUCUUGACGGUACCUAAUCAGAAAGCCACGGCUAACUACGUG